Molecule: non-coding RNA, 1096 nt
Organism: Caretta caretta (loggerhead turtle)
Lineage: Eukaryota; Metazoa; Chordata; Testudines; Cheloniidae
Source: RefSeq, a predicted model, not a curated record
UCCUGAACUGCAGCGGGGACGAUAAGUUUUUUAAACACACAUGGACGCAUGGAUUUCCCUUCCACCUUGCCUGUGGGUUUCAGAUUAAAGUUCCUGGGGCCAAUACAGGCAUUCGCCGGGCUGCACUCUGCAAAGACAGCUGCACUCUGAAUAGCAGCCAGCCACUGAAGAGAUGGAUUCAAGCCACACGAGAUGGCCCAGAUCCUGAACACCCCAAUGUCUGUGAGUGGUUCGUGGCUCAUGAUACACACAGGGCCAUUCACAAAAUUGAGAUCAAAGUUCAGGGGACUUCAGAGCGAGGGUCUUGGGGCCGGUGCGUCUCUCCGGGCACAGUGCGCAGGCAGAGCAUGAGCAGAGAGUGGCGUGGACCAGAACGCUAGAGCCAAACCCACCUCCCUCCCUCCCAAAACCUUUGGAUCUGGGUCUCGGUGGUUCAAACCCAUCCCGGCUUGUGGCUACUAAGUUCAUCACGCUUGGAUUGCGUGGCUCCUGGCACUGCUGGGAGCUCAGCCGAACACAGUGGGUGAAACUUUAUAGCUAAGGAGACGGCCAAGCUUUCAGAGCUAGAACCGUGAAGAAGGCCAAGCCAUGUGAGUCAUGUUAUCCUAGGCACACAGAAUUCAUCAUCUAACAGCGUGGUGCUGUUGACUAUGCGGGAGGAAGUGGGUCCCGGCUCAGGACUGGGCAUUCAGAGAUGUGAAGGCCAUUUUCAGCUCUGUCGCUGGCUCAGUGACCUUGGGCAAGUCAUGGCAUAGCUGCUAAAUGUCUCUACCUGUGAAAUGGGCGUAAUCCAUACUGCCUCCCACCCGCCAGAGGAGAAAUUAACUGUUGCACAAUGCAUUGCGAUGCGGUAGUGUCACCCUCUAGUGGCUGGCCCCAGAGUUAACAAGAACCUGCUGUUUACUAACAGCCAAUGGAGUUAUUCCUUUAGCCCAAGUGGUACUUGCCCUCUUGGUGCUGUAGGUUGCUGGUUUGAUACCCCCCCUAUGGUGGUUGUAUGACUAUGUCUGUGAAAUUAGUUAGAGCCAGAGAAAGAGCAAAGUGUUAUUAUUAAAGCAUGGUUCAGUCCAUUGAUGAGAACCAGCUACACAACUCA